This 1762-nucleotide ribosomal RNA is filed under the name Niphargus transsylvanicus. RNAcentral's name for it is "bacterial SSU rRNA". It matches the Rfam family "Eukaryotic small subunit ribosomal RNA", at positions 379 to 1798 of the family's 1831-position model. The record is from RNAcentral. Lineage: Eukaryota; Metazoa; Arthropoda; Malacostraca; Amphipoda; Niphargidae.
GAUUCCGGAGAGGCAGCCUGAGAGACGGCUACCACGUCCAAGGACGGCAGCAGGCACGCAAAUUACCCAAUCCCAGCAACUGGGGGAGGUAGUGACGAAAUCUAACGAUGCGGGCGCCCUUUUUGGGGCCCCGCAAUCGGAAUGAGUACUUUCUAAACAACCUGUUGAGAACCUACUGAAGGGCAAGUCUGGUGCCAGCAGCCGCGGUAAUUCCAGCUUCAGCAGCAUCUAUUAAAGUUGCUGCGGUUAAAAGGCUCGCAGUUGAAUGUCAGUAUCGAGCGCAGGUCAGGUGGACGCUGGGGCGUGGGAACACAAGGCGCGGCACGGGCCCUUGCCUCGUGCUUGUGGCUACGGCCGUGUCUCUCACAUACCCCCGUCCGUUACAAGCCUCCUCGCUCGCGUACAUAUCGGAAUUGGUCAAACGGAGUGUGCGCAGCACCCGCCCGCUCUCGUCCUCAGGCCGCGUUCGCGCGCGUCGGUUGGCGUUGGCUGUGUGGGAACGCUCGCACGUUAAGCUCCUUCGGUUUCAUGGUCACCUUGAGUAAAUCAGAGUGCUCAAAGCAGUCGUAGGGGCCUUGCGCCCUGUGAACAGUCUUGACGGACUGACUUGGUUUUGCAUGGCAUGUCGGAAGACGACGUCGUGUGCUGGCUCAGAGAUAUGAUCAGUGGUGCAAGCCAGCCUCGACGUACUGAUUAACAGGGACGGUCGAGGGCAUUGGUAUUGCGAGGCGAGAGGUGAAAUUCUAUGACCCCCGCAAGACCUCCUGAAGCGAAAGCGUCUGCCAAGGACGUUUUCAUUAAUCAUGAACGAAAGUUAGAGGAUCGAAGGCGAUCAGAUACCGCCCUAGUUCUAACCCUAAACGAUGCCAACCAUCAAUCCGCGCGUAGCUCCCAUCUUAACGGGCUCGGCGGGCAGCUCCCCACUCACGGGAAACCAGAGUCUCUGGGUUCCGGGGGGAGUCUGGUUGCAAAGCUGAAACUUAAAGGAAUUGACGGAAAGGCACCACCAGGCGUGGAGCCUGCGGCUUAAUUUGACUCAACACGGGCCAUCUCACCAGGCCAGCACUCUUGUACGAUUGACAGAUUGAGAGCUCUUUCUCGAUUCAGUGGAUGGUGGUGCAUGGCCGUUCUUAGUUGGUGGAGUGAUCUGUCUGGUUAAUUCCGAUAACGAACGAGACUCUCCCCUGCUAACUAGUCGGCUGGAUCUUUAUCGGUGAGUUGUGUGCCGGGAAAACCUGGGUGCGGGCGCGUUGGGUUGCUGCGGUUCUACCAAGGCACUCUCGUGGUUCGCAUUUCGGGCCUCGGGCCACACACUCCAAGUCCGCCGCUUAUUGUAUAACUCUUCUUAGAGGGAUUCACGGUUCUGAAGCCGUCAGAGACUGAGAGCAAUAACAGGUCUGUGAUGCCCUUAGAUGCUCUGGGCCGCACGCGCGCUACAAUGCCGGGCACAGCAGGUGUUUCUCCUGCUCCGACAGGAGCAGGUAACCCUCUGAAAGCCAGUGUUUUUGUCGAGUCUGACUCGAAAGGCGUGCUUGGGCCUGGGGCUUGCAAUUCUUUCCCACCAACGAGGAAUGCCUAGUAGCGGCGGGUCACUGAGCCCGCUGUGACUCAGUCCCUGCCCUUUGUACACACCGCCCGUCGCUACUACCGAUUGGGUGUACCAGUGAGAGCCUUGGACUGGCGUCCGUUGCCUUCGGGCAAGCGGGUCCGACGGAAAGAGGUCCGAACUGGUGCACUUAGAGGAAGUAAAAGUCGUAACAAG